AUUGAACGCUGGCGGCAUGCCUUACACAUGCAAGUCGAACGGCAGCGCGGGGCAACCUGGCGGCGAGUGGCGAACGGGUGAGUAAUAUAUCGGAACAUACCCUAGAGUGGGGGAUAACGUAGCGAAAGUUACGCUAAUACCGCAUACGCACUAAGGUGGAAAGUGGGGGGAUCUUCGGACCUCAUGCUCAUGGAGUGGCCGAUAUCUGAUUAGCUAGUUGGUGAGGUAAAGGCUCACCAAGGCGACGAUCAGUAGCUGGUUUGAGAGAACGACCAGCCUCACUGGAACUGAGACACGGUCCAGACUCCUACGGAGGCAGCAGUGGGGAAUUUUGGACGAAUGGGGGGCAACCCUGAUCCAGCAAUGCCGCGUGAGUGAAGAAGG
RNAcentral lists this ribosomal RNA (384 nucleotides) under uncultured bacterium. Its description in RNAcentral is "bacterial SSU rRNA". It matches the Rfam family "Bacterial small subunit ribosomal RNA", at positions 30 to 414 of the family's 1533-position model. The record is from RNAcentral.